AUGGGUUGCCUGAUCUCUGGAUACUUCCCUGAACCAGCCACCGUGCGAUGGAAUUCGGGAGCUAUCACCUCCGGCAUCCAGAACUUCCCUUCACUGCUGCAAUCAUCCAGUGGCCGCUACCUCUUAAGUAGCCAACUUACGGUCCCGGCCUCCCGCUGGCAAUCUGAGACUUUCCAAUGCAACGUUGCACAUGCAGCUACCAGCUCUGCAACUGACUUAGAGAUCAAAUCCUGCGCUCGCCAUGACCCAGUGGCUCCAAAAGUCUACCUCCUCCAUUCCUCCUGCAACCACAAGACUGAUGACUCCACCAUUCAGCUUGUGUGCUUUAUCACAGACUUCUACCCUAGCACAAUCACAGUGAAUUGGCUGGUGGACGGAAAAUCCGGGGUGCUGGCUGCCCACACUGAGUCUGCCAAGAAAGACGCUACUGGGUUCACCUUCAGCACUACCAGCACAGUCAACAUUACCCAAGUAGAGUGGAAAGAGGGGAAGACAUACACCUGCGAGGUGAUCCAUCAGGAAAACUUAGUAAAGAAGCACGCCUCAAAAUGCCCAGGUGUCAGCGGUGCAUGUACAACCAGUGGCGCUAAGAUCUCUAUCACGCCUCCGACUCCGGCUGACCUAUACAUGAAUGGAGAUCCCAAGCUCAUCUGCGUGAUAGCUAAUCUUGAAAGCGAUGUGGGACUAAAAGUGACCUGGUCCUGGGAGAAACCAGGAACCUUGAUCCCCGAACCACUGGAAACUUCAUCAAAUGAGGAUGGCACCUUCACAGCUGAGAGUUCCCUGAUUGUCUCCAAGCAAAGCUGGCUGGCAGGGGACAUCUACACUUGCAAAGCGGAACAUGCAGCCUUUGUUGCUCCCCUAAGUAUGCCGAUUGCCAGAAAGACAGGCAAGCGCACCCGCCCCCAUGUGUACCUCUUCCGCCCCCACAAUGAAGAGUUGAGAUCUCGCGAUCCAAAUGUAUCCCUGACCUGCCUGGUCCUAGGGUUCAAUCCUGAGGAAAUCUCCAUUCAGUGGCUCGAGAAUCACAAUGCUGUGACAGAAGACAACCAUGUUACCACCCCAGUCCUGAUGGAUAGCAAUCAAGAGUCCUUUUAUGUCUAUAGCAAGCUGACAGUCCCCAAGAACAGCUGGAACAAUGGCAAUUCUUUCACCUGCCACGUUGUCCACGAAGGGCUCGACAUGAAGUACACCCAGAGGACCAUUGAGAAAAUUCAGGGUAAAAAAUGA
Heteronotia binoei (common prickly gecko) is the source of this 1230-nucleotide non-coding RNA. The record is from the annotation of a RefSeq genome assembly. NCBI's taxonomy places the organism in Eukaryota, Metazoa, Chordata, Lepidosauria, Squamata, Gekkonidae.